UGAGGAAUAUUGGUCAAUGGGCGCGAGCCUGAACCAGCCAAGUAGCGUGCAGGAAGACGGCCCUAUGGGUUGUAAACUGCUUUUAUGCGGUGAUAAAGGAGUCCACGUGUGGAUUUUUGCAGGUACCGCAUGAAUAAGGACCGGCUAAUUCCGUGCCAGCAGCCGCGGUAAUACGGAAGGUCCGGGCGUUAUCCGGAUUUAUUGGGUUUAAAGGGAGCGUAGGCUGUUUGUUAAGCGUGUUGUGAAAUGUAAGAGCUCAACUUUUAGAUUGCAGCGCGAACUGGUAGACUUGAGUGCGCACAACGUAGGCGGAAUUCAUGGGGUAGCGGUGAAAUGCUUAGAUAACAUAACGAACUCCGAUUGCGAAGGCAGCUUACGGGAGCGCAACUGACGCUAAAGCUCGAAGGUGCGGGUAUCGAACAGG
This 424-nucleotide ribosomal RNA is filed under the name Verrucomicrobiota bacterium. RNAcentral describes it as "Verrucomicrobia bacterium partial 16S ribosomal RNA". It matches the Rfam family "Bacterial small subunit ribosomal RNA", at positions 355 to 776 of the family's 1533-position model. Lineage: Bacteria; Pseudomonadati; Verrucomicrobiota. The record is from RNAcentral.